UACGAAGGGGGCUAGCGUUGUUCGGAAUCACUGGGCGUAAAGGGCGCGUAGGCGGCCGAUCAAGUCGGGGGUGAAAGCCUGUGGCUCAACCACAGAAUUGCCUUCGAUACUGUUUGGCUUGAGACCGGAAGAGGUAAGUGGAACUGCGAGUGUAGAGGUGAAAUUCGUAGAUAUUCGCAAGAACACUAGUGGCGAAGGCGGCUUACUGGUCCGGUUCUGACGCUGAGGCGCGAAAGCGUGGGGAGCAAACAGG
Molecule: ribosomal RNA, 253 nt
Filed under: uncultured bacterium
Lineage: Bacteria
Description: partial 16S ribosomal RNA
Rfam family: Bacterial small subunit ribosomal RNA
Source: RNAcentral